GACGAACGCUGGCGGCGUGCUUAACACAUGCAAGUCGAACGCUGAAGCUCAGCUUUUGUUGGGUGGAUGAGUGGCGAACGGGUGAGUAACACGUGAGUAACCUGCCUCCUUCUUUGGGAUAACGCCCGGAAACGGGUGCUAAUACUGGAUAUUCACUGGUCUUCGCAUGGGGGUUGGUGGAAAGGGUUUUUCUGGUGGGGGAUGGGCUCGCGGCCUAUCAGCUUGUUGGUGGGGUGAUGGCCUACCAAGGCUUUGACGGGUAGCCGGGCUGAGAGGGUGAACGGUAACAUUGGGACUGAGCUACGGCCCAGACUACGACGGGAGGCAGCAGUGGGGAAUAUUGCACAAUGGGCGCAAGCCUGAUGCAGCGACGCCGCGUGAGGGAUGGAGGCCUUCGGGUUGUGAACCUCUUUCGCUCAUGGUCAAGCCGCAACAAUGGUUGUGGUGAGGGUAGUGGGUAAAGAAGCGCCGGCUAACUACGUG
This 483-nucleotide ribosomal RNA is filed under the name uncultured bacterium. Its description in RNAcentral is "partial 16S ribosomal RNA". It matches the Rfam family "Bacterial small subunit ribosomal RNA", at positions 28 to 507 of the family's 1533-position model. The record is from RNAcentral.